Molecule: ribosomal RNA, 394 nt
Filed under: uncultured bacterium
Lineage: Bacteria
Description: partial 16S ribosomal RNA
Rfam family: Bacterial small subunit ribosomal RNA
Source: RNAcentral
AUACGUAGGGGGCGAGCGUUAUCCGGAAUUAUUGGGCGUAAAGAGUACGUAGGCGGUUCUGUCAGCGUGAGGUGAAAGCCCGGGGCUUAACUCCGGUAAACCUUUCGAACUGCAGGACUUGAGUGCUGGAGGGGAAAGUGGAAUUCCUAGGGUAGCGGUGAAAUGCGUAGAUAUUAGGAGGAACACCAGUGGCGAAGGCGACUUCCUGGACAGUAACUGACGCUGAGGUACGAAAGCGUGGGGAGCAAACAGGAUUAGAUACCCUGGUAGUCCACGCUGUAAACGAUGAGCACUAGGUGUCGGGCUAGCAAUAGUUCGGUGCCGCAGUUAACGCAAUAAGUGCUCCGCCUGGGGAGUACGCACGCAAGUGUGAAACUCAAAUGAAUUGACGGGG